RNAcentral lists this ribosomal RNA (481 nucleotides) under uncultured bacterium. RNAcentral's name for it is "partial 16S ribosomal RNA". It matches the Rfam family "Bacterial small subunit ribosomal RNA", at positions 28 to 507 of the family's 1533-position model. The record is from RNAcentral.
GAUGAACGCUGGCUGCGUGCUUAACACAUGCAAGUCGAACGAAGCACUUUAUUUCAUUUCCUUCGGGACUGAUUAUUUUGUGACUGAGUGGCGGACGGGUGAGUAACGCGUGGGUAACCUGCCUUGUACAGGGGGAUAACAGUUGGCAACGGCUGCUAAUACCGCAUAAGCGCCCGGCAUCGCAUGAUGCAGUGUGAAAAACUCCGGUGGUAUAAGAUGGACCCGCGUUGGAUUAGCUAGUUGGUGAGUUACCGGCCCACCAAGGCGACGAUCCAUAGCCGACCUGAGAGGGUGGGCGCCCACCUUGGGAGUGAGACACGACCCAAACUCCUUCGGGACGCAGCAGAGGGUGAUAUUGCAGAAUGGGCGAAAGCCUAAUGCAGCGACGCCGCGUGAGCGAAGAAGUAGUUCGAUAUGUAAAGCGCUAUCAGCAGGGAAGAUAAUGGCGGUACCUUACUAAGAAGCACCGGCUAAAUACGUG